RNAcentral lists this ribosomal RNA (377 nucleotides) under uncultured bacterium. Its description in RNAcentral is "bacterial SSU rRNA". It matches the Rfam family "Bacterial small subunit ribosomal RNA", at positions 521 to 896 of the family's 1533-position model. The record is from RNAcentral.
UAAUACGGAGGGUGCGAGCGUUGUCCGGAAUCACUGGGCGUAAAGGGCGCGUAGGCGGCGCGGCAAGCGUGCGGUGAAAGCCCGGGGCUCAACCCCGGGUCGGCCGUGCGAACUGCCGGGCUCGAGCACUGUAGGGGCAGGCGGAAUUCCGGGUGUAGCGGUGGAAUGCGUAGAGAUCCGGAAGAACACCGGUGGCGAAGGCGGCCUGCUGGGCAGUGGCUGACGCUGAGGCGCGACAGCGUGGGGAGCAAACAGGAUUAGAUACCCUGGUAGUCCACGCCGUAAACGAUGGGCACUAGGUGCUCGGGGGAGCGACCCUCCGAGUGCCGGCGCUAACGCAUUAAGUGCCCCGCCUGGGGAGUACGGCCGCAAGGCUG